GAUGAACGCUGGCGGCGUGCCUAAUACAUGCAAGUCGAACGAAGAUGUCUUCGGACAUCUUAGUGGCGAACGGGUGAGUAAUACGUAAGCAACCUGCCCACAAGGACCGGGAUAACUGCUGGAAACGGUAGCUAAGACCGGAUAGGUAUACUGAAGGCAUCUUUGGUAUAUUAAAGGUUAGAAACACAAGUGGAUGGGCUUACGGCGCAUUAGCUAGUUGGUGAGGUAACGGCCCACCAAGGCGAUGAUGCGUAGCCGGCCUGAGAGGGUGAACGGCCACAUUGGGACUGAGACACGGCCCAGACUCCUACGGGAGGCAGCAGUAGGGAAUAUUGGUCAAUGGGCGUGAGCCUGAACCAGCCAAGUAGCGUGCAGGAUGACGGCCCUAUGGGUUGUAAAACUGCUUUUAUAAGGGAAUAAAGUGAGAGUCGUGACUCUUUUUGUCA
This 446-nucleotide ribosomal RNA is filed under the name uncultured bacterium. Its description in RNAcentral is "bacterial SSU rRNA". It matches the Rfam family "Bacterial small subunit ribosomal RNA", at positions 28 to 474 of the family's 1533-position model. The record is from RNAcentral.